Molecule: ribosomal RNA, 305 nt
Filed under: Rossellomorea marisflavi
Lineage: Bacteria; Bacillati; Bacillota; Bacilli; Caryophanales; Bacillaceae
Description: bacterial SSU rRNA
Rfam family: Bacterial small subunit ribosomal RNA
Source: RNAcentral
UGGUUGUCGUCAGCUCGUGUCGUGAGAUGUUGGGUUAAGUCCCGCAACGAGCGCAACCCUUGAUCUUAGUUGCCAGCAUUCAGUUGGGCACUCUAAGAUGACUGCCGGUGACAAACCGGAGGAAGGUGGGGAUGACGUCAAAUCAUCAUGCCCCUUAUGACCUGGGCUACACACGUGCUACAAUGGACGGUACAAAGGGCUGCAAGACCGCGAGGUUUAGCCAAUCCCAUAAAACCGUUCUCAGUUCGGAUUGUAGGCUGCAACUCGCCUACAUGAAGCUGGAAUCGCUAGUAAUCGCGGAUCAG